GAAACAGCGGGAUUUAUUAACGUGCCCAUCUUCCCACUGCAUCAUGCGCAGAACUGAAUAAUAAUUAACGUACGCACAUUCAUAAUGCUCCAACUCGGUUUGAGCGGGUAAAACACAGCUGUCCCUUCAGGACCUACUAUGUAAAAAUCUAUAUUUAAGCUAUCUUCAAGCAAUGGGGCCAUUGGAAUUGAAAUUGCUUGGAGCAUUAUUCAGGUUCUAUAUGCCUCCCUUUUCGACAUGUGACAUUUUAUUGUUGGUGUUGUAACGGAACUGAGGUUGAUUUUACACAGAGCGGGAGAAAAAUGAAUUUUAUUUGGAAUAAUUGGACUCUUGCACAGCGCGUUAUUAUCUCCUGGUAGGAGGGUAGGUCGUCAUCAUGUUUUCUUGGAAAUAAGCCACAACUUUCAGAGCGGGGAAAGAUUUAAACGGUUUGAGAUCUAAAGACAUUAAACACUGGUCUUCUGGUGGCUUUUGGUAUGGCAAACACUUUAGGAAUCCGUGUUGUUCGACCGGUAACACUCCGAAAGUUUCAUCAACCUGAGCUCGACCUUUCAAAGGAACGUGACACCGAUCCUCUUUUAUCGGCCAACAGAGUGCGCACUUCUCAUCAACGAAUGACAGGGGAUUGUCAGCCAAGCAAGUCGUGGAAUGCACAUUCAAAUCCACAAUCUCAGUCAAGCACUGUCGACCGUAGUACGCAAACACAGUGCACGGACGAUAUUCGACACACAGAUUUUGUUAUUCGGGGCACGGCUGCAGACGACAGAGUAGACAUGCCAGUAUCGUCUACACUCACACAUUAUUCUAUGCACAAAAGUAACCAGGAUUUCUCGAAUUUCGAGCCGAACUGCCCAAACUCGAUGGACUAUCACUCUCAUGGAGGAACUUUAACCCAUUCGUCUCCGUUUAACGGGAUUAAACAAGCAGGAUAUGACACUUAUGGUAGCGAGUUAGAGUAUCGAGUUGGAGCACCGAUUCCCGUGGGAGAUACUGGUAGCGGCGGAGUUGGUACCGGCUUUGGUGGCGGACCAUUGCUGAAACAGGGUGGAUCUUUGGUAGACGAGAUUGGACCAAAAGAGGCGCCACAUAAACUUGGAAGUAGCAAGGAUACCUAUACUAAAAUGACGAGAGCGGUGACACAGAAACCCGAAGGGAUCGGGGAAUCAUUAGCCUGGCUCAAACGAGAACUGGUGAGCAUAGAUCUUGAUUUGACAUGUAUUUGAUGAUUUUGUUGGAUAUAUGAGGUUGAUAAAAAUGUGUGUUCGGUUGAUUCAAAGUGGUAUUAGUGUGGGGGGGGUCUUUGAUUGGUGACGUCGUUUUUUGCUUUUCUUCUUUACAAUCAAAUUACAUUUAAAGCACACGUAUUGUGGUUUUAAAUGUUAAGCGUGGAAGAUUUUUAUGUGAAUGAAAUCAAAAUAUUCAUAAAAGUUGAAAGACAAAUUCUUUGUAGGUCGAUCUGCAUUUAUUUAGCGCUUUGAGCCUUUAUGGGAAGAGCGCUAUAUAAAAACUAGCUAUUGUUAUUAUUAUUGUUAUUAUUUUUAUUAUUCUCAUCAUCAUCCUCAUUUAUAAUAUGAACAUUAAUUGCUGAAGACGAAAAAUGGGCUUCAAUAUAUUAGUCAAGAGGUACAAUAGUUAAGCAUGGGCAACUAACCUUGAUGGUCAGAUCUUUUGUGGGUUAUAGAAGGCAUACACACCUUCACUUUUUGUACAAUUUAUAGAAACCACGUGAAUGACGUUACUCAAGAACGGAGCAAAAAAAAACAUGAUUGGGUGUAUUCAGUGAAGCACAUGAACAUUACUAUAUCACUUUUAAUAGAUCCCGUUUCAUCAACAAACAUGACAAAAACAAACUGACGUUUAUUUAGCCCAUUAUUUGCGUACAUCAUUUUGUUUUCAAGAUCAAGAUGUAGAAGUUGGAUACUGAGCUUUUCAGGAGUUUCUCUACCAAUAUUAUAAAGUCUAUAGAAAUACUUCUCCCUGUUUUUAGGUUAAACUGCGCUGUAAUCACAUGAAGUGUUUUUAGGCACUUUUUCCAGAAGGGCAUUACGAAGCUGUUUGUUUGAUUGUUUUAAAAUACAUUAUGGGAGAUAAAGUCCAAGCGUACCACUGACAGUUUUCCUUUGAUGUAUUGUGUUGAACUGGUAGUUUUAUGCAGUUCGUCUCCGACAUUCAUUUGGGUGCGGUGACUGUGUUAUAAAUGGAAUGCAGGAUUAUGCCAUUUUCACGAUCUCUUUCUAUUAUUACAUCAAUCCCUCGUUCCAAUUCAAUCCUCUUCACCUCACUCUCACAAAGAACACCACUCUGAAAGAGAUCCAUGCAUGCCAAACAAAUAACCUCAACGAAUUCGUUAUUUCGACACACCGAAAAAACCCACUCUUUCAAAAAUGGGUAAGGAGCAAGUUACUUCCUGUGUAGUAACAUGCAGUAGCACAGAUUUGUAAAUGCAAGGAUCAUUUUAAUACACAGUUUAACCAGCUUAGAUAUACGCCUACUGAAGAUUUUCAUAAACCAAUGUGACAACUAUAUGCAGCCCGAUUUCGUGUUCAUCGCAUGGGAUAUUUAUUUUGAGAAAGGAGAUAAGGGACGAUAAACGAGAUAGGCAAAGCAAACGUGAUGUGAUUAUUAGUAAUAAGGUCAUCUUAUGGCAACCUUAUAAUGUUUUAUUCCAAGUCUUGGCACGUUCCGUCUUUGAUAUUAGAGUGAUUUCGCUUUAUCUUAAAAGAUAUUAUUGUAGAUUGAACUGUAAACAUGAUGUCGAUCGAGAUAAACUUAUGCAACACGUUUGCACGUAUAUGUAUAUAUAUACCCUCGUACAUUGACGAUAAAAAAUGAAAUGUUAAAUAAGCAAUUGAAAUAUUUUAGGAUUGAUCACCUUUUCCAAAUAUUGCUUUUACCACUUUGAUUUUUCGAUCCAACACUUACAUUAUUGUAUUCAGCUUCAUGCAAGUUUGGAUAUAACAUGUGGGGAAAAAAAAAUGUCACUCUAACCUAGUUUCAAUUGCCGAUUUAACAUUACAUUUUUAACUCCAGAGUGUAUUGUUUCCAAAUAAAACAACAAUAAUAUGCUGAGCUUAUAUCAUAUCUUGGCAGUAUUUAAUGUAAAACAGCUACUGCUGAUAUCUUGUGACAACAGUUUAAACCGUAAUGAUCUUCGUCAUCCUCCUCCGUCUGGGCAAGAAGUGAUUCCAAUCAGGCAGGUGCUGAGGAAGGAAAUGUUCUUUCAUCGUCGAAUACACUACAAGAGCAUUUAACUCGAGACCGAUUUAUGCAUGUAUAAGAAAAAUGCACGUUUCGAAGUUUUGACACAACACCAGUUUAGAAUCAAACCCAGAAUUGACGUUGUUUUAGACGCCUAUUUGAUGUUAGCCCAAAAUAAAACUGGUGAAAUUCAUGUAAGACACUAGGCUGGUAUUGACACUGACUUUUGCAGUGAGUGAGUGUAGGCAGCUAAUAAGUAUUUUUGAAAUAUUUAAGUAAAUUGGAAGAGGAUAUACGCUUAUUAUCCCGUACGAUAUCAGUGAUUACAAUUUCCUUCAUACUUUAGAAUUACAAUUGACCCUCUCCAGGUUACAAAAUAAUGCUUUGUCGAUUCCCCCCAUUAUGUCAAACAAAAUAUAUAUCAAGAGGGUGGGUUAACGUCUAAAAAAAUAGGGAAACUCGAGAAAGAUAAGUAGUUUUCUUUGGUGUGUGGAGAUACGAUGUUUGAAAAAAAUUAGUUCUUGUCACUAUGAGCCCAAUAUUUUCAAAUUAGAUCGUUUAUCAUUCGAUAUCUGUCACCGUACUCUGACAAAUGAUGAGAAAGUUUGCAACUCGUAAGAUCAUAUAUUUUAUAAUUGUCUUAAAUAUUGUAGGUAUCUAUUGUUCUAGAAACGAAUUCGAUGUUUUAAUUGCUUUGAAAUAUGACAAACAAUAAAACAUGGCACGUAGUCUUCGACCAUGCAAAUCUCUGUGCGGUGAAAUUGCCUUAUACGGUAUAUUCCUCGAUACUGUAGGAUUUUUUUUCUGUGCCAGCAAAUUGAAUUUUUGGCUAAGAGAUCGGGAAGGAUAUUCGAGCAAAACUUCCGAUUUUACAAGCUUAAAUGGAAUAACCUGAAUCCCCACACAUAUAUCCAAACAUAAUACACCUAAAACUUGAAACGUGUUAGUUUAUGGGUAUCACGAGAUCAUUUUUUAUAUAGGCCUACAUACAAUAUACAAGAUAUAUAAUAGCAGCUUUAUAAUGUACUUAUUUGAUUUUAUUCACUUCCCUCUAGUACUUGGAAAUAAUCGUUAUCUACCAAUUGUACUAAUCAGCUAAUGGUGACGUUUAAACGUGACUUUUUCUAAGGUUCGAGAUAAUAUAUAACUGAAAAAUGAUUUAAUACAUGCCAUCAAUUCUGACUUGUCAAUCAAUUCCUAUACAAUACAUGUUUAAAACUUCAGUUCAUCUAUCCUCCAUCGUCCUCCAUUGAAAUCAAUCUAGUUCUUACAAACGACAGCUUAGUUUGAUUGAUACAAAUGUAUUUUAACGAAUAGUUAUAAAGGCAAUUAUCAUGAAGGAAAUGCGUGUUUCUCUACGUUAUUUUGAAGAGUUAUUAUACAGAUUCAUCCAGCUGUAGGCGGAGACCUUCAUUUCUAUAACCCAAUCUGAUGAAAUGCGUCCAUCUCCCAUACGAUUUAUAUUUGGCAGAUGGUUCUUGUAGCUACGAAGAUAAAUAAUGUGCAGAAGAAGAACACAUUCGUCAUCGCUAAUGAGAGGAAAUCAUACAAUGUUUUCAGAGUCCAUUCACCUUCUAGAACAGACAUGAUGAGUAUUUGGAUUAGUAAAUCCUUCACAGCCUUACAAAGGAAGAUUUGUGUUUCCUGUCUUUGAUGAUUACAUCUUUAUUUCAAAGCAGACGAUUGUUUACAAGCUUAAAUGGAAAGUUCACUCUUAAUAAUAACUUGGUUGUGAUAAGAAAAUGAUAUUGGAGUUAAUUGUUACGGAGUUAUUAGUUUUAUAAGAAAAAAUAUAUAGAUUGUGACGUCACAGGCGAGCAGUUCCUCCAUGUGCCAGGUUAUUUGAAUUCCAAAAAGUUUCAUUUUCUCUUUAAAAAAAUGGAAGUGAUUUUAUGUGUGCUGUGGAUGUAUUAUCAUUACACUUCAUUCAUAACCUCUUUUAUGAGAAAAUAUUCAUGUUCCACUAAAAAGAAAUGGAGAUUAGUGAAUUAUUAGUCCUGUGUGUUAUAUAGGGGAGCUGUUCGCAUAUUACGUUACGAAAUAAAAACAAAAUUAUGAAUUUUCAUCAAACCUUCAUAUUUUUUCGCGAAUAUUCCUGUUACUAUCAAAACCAACUGUACGUUAGGGGGAACUUCCCUUUAACGAAUCUUCCUCAAAAUAUUAUGUCUGUAGUCAUAUAAGGGAUGAAUACCUUUUCUUAUCCUGGUGUGAUCGAAUAGUUA
Molecule: long non-coding RNA, 5420 nt
Organism: Lytechinus variegatus (green sea urchin)
Lineage: Eukaryota; Metazoa; Echinodermata; Echinoidea; Temnopleuroida; Toxopneustidae
Exons: 2
Source: RefSeq, a predicted model, not a curated record